AUGCUAUGAUGACAUCUAACGCUUUCAGUGAUGGUUGGGUCCUUCACAGCCGUCCGAUCUAAUAGGACGAAAUAAAAGCGUUCCUGAGCUU
This is a non-coding RNA of Cucumis sativus (cucumber), 91 nucleotides long. The record is from Rfam. NCBI's taxonomy places the organism in Eukaryota, Viridiplantae, Streptophyta, Magnoliopsida, Cucurbitales, Cucurbitaceae.